This 253-nucleotide ribosomal RNA is filed under the name uncultured bacterium. Its description in RNAcentral is "partial 16S ribosomal RNA". It matches the Rfam family "Bacterial small subunit ribosomal RNA", at positions 524 to 776 of the family's 1533-position model. The record is from RNAcentral.
UACGAAGGGUGCAAGCGUUACUCGGAAUUACUGGGCGUAAAGCGUGCGUAGGUGGUGAGUUAAGUCUGAUGUGAAAUCCCCGGGCUCAACCUGGGAAUGGCAUUGGAUACUGGCUCGCUGGAGUGCGGUAGAGGGUGGUGGAAUUCCCGGUGUAGCAGUGAAAUGCGUAGAGAUGUGGAGGAAUACCGAUGGCGAAGGCAGCCCCCUGGGACAAUACUGACGCUCAUGCACGAAAGCGUGGGGAGCAAACAGG